RNAcentral lists this ribosomal RNA (497 nucleotides) under uncultured bacterium. RNAcentral describes it as "partial 16S ribosomal RNA". It matches the Rfam family "Bacterial small subunit ribosomal RNA", at positions 28 to 507 of the family's 1533-position model. The record is from RNAcentral.
GAUGAACGCUGGCGGCGUGCCUAAUACAUGCAAGUCGAGCGAACGGACGAGAAGCUUGCUUCUCUGAUGUUAGCGGCGGACGGGUGAGUAACACGUGGAUAACCUACCUAUACGACUGGGAUAACUUCGGGAAACCGGAGCUAAUACCGGAUGAUAUUUUGAACCGCAUGGUUCAAAAGUGAAAGACGGUCUUGCUGUCACUUAUAGAUGGAUCCGCGCUGCAUUAGCUAGUUGGUAAGGUAACGGCUUACCAAGGCAACGAUGCAUAGCCGACCUGAGAGGGGGAUCGGCCACACUGGAACUGAGACACGGUCCAGACUCCUACGGGAGGCAGCAGUAGGGAAUCUUCCGCAAUGGGCGAAAGCCUGACGGAGCAACGCCGCGUGAGUGAUGAAGGUCUUCGGAUCGUAAAACUCUGUUAUUAGGGAAGAACAUAUGUGUAAGUAACUGUGCACAUCUUGACGGUACCUAAUCAGAAAGCCACGGCUAACUACGUG